CCACACGCUCAUUUAUGUUUAACCAUUUGUGGUUCACAAAUAACCAUUUUAUCGUUUUUGCCCCCAAACUGCCGAUAUGGUUAUUUUUUAAAAAUUUUUCAAGCGACAAAAUCAACCAUUUUUGAAGUUUAAGCGCAUUAACCAAAUAUGGUUAAAAAUUCGAUAGCCAAAGCUUCGCCAUUUUAUUUUGGAAGUGAAAAACGACGAAGUUGUACGCGUUACAUUCGUUUUUAACCCAAGUUCAAUCUAGGCUUGGAUUCCACCGGAUUUGUUCAAACUUCUUCGACUGGAAGAUCCCAUUCUGUCAAAAGAAAAACAAAACGAAUCUUCCGUAUCGUCAUCGGCUCCGUCGUCAGCUUACCACGGGUUGGCCGGACACCCUAUCUGGGCUGCAAAAAAAAAACAUUUUCAGAUACGGAACGGGCACGCAUCGAUGAACAACCGGCAGCAAUCCCUCCGUCAAUCCGCGCUAAUCGCACAUAACUGCGGUAAACAGAAACCACCGGAAUCCGCGGUCGUCGUUAUCAAAGUCUCCGGAACCAAGUUCAACGGCAGAGGUGGUGGUUUUUUGAUCGAGCAAACGCACCUUCCCGUAUCGCAGGGAAGAGGAAAUGCGGGUCGAUUAGGAGAAAGUUGAACCGGGAGCUGUUCCGGUUUCGUUAGAGUACGACGGAUUAAAGUACAACAUGAACAGAAAUAAUGGUAUCGAUUCAUAUUCCCGAGAAACUCCGUGCAUAGUACCAUGGAAUUCCGGUACUGCCCACGGAGAAAAAAAUCAAGAUUGACGAGCCGGUCGACCAGCUGAUAUGUUUGCCUGGCGCAUGAUUGAGUGAUGAUGCCCAUCGUCGUCAGCGACCCUCGGAUUAGUGCUUCCCAGCCAUGACUUCACUCUGACACCCGUUUGCCACCCGCUACUACUCAACGUCAGCAGAAACAUUUAAAAUGGGUCUACCAAUUCCAGCAACAUAUGUAAU
Long non-coding RNA from Uranotaenia lowii, 974 nucleotides. RefSeq lists it as uncharacterized. The transcript is spliced from 3 exons. The record is from RefSeq and is a predicted model, not a curated record. Lineage: Eukaryota; Metazoa; Arthropoda; Insecta; Diptera; Culicidae.